UACGGAGGGGGCUAGCGUUGUUCGGAAUUACUGGGGCGUAAAGCGCACGUAGGCGGCUUUGUAAGUUAGAGGUGAAAGCCCGGGGCUCAACUCCGGAAUUGCCUUUAAGACUGCAUCGCUAGAAUUGUGGAGAGGUAAGUGGAAUUCCGAGUGUAGAGGUGAAAUUCGUAGAUAUUCGGAAGAACACCAGUGGCGAAGGCGACUUACUGGACACAUAUUGACGCUGAGGUGCGAAAGCGUGGGGAGCAAACAGG
Molecule: ribosomal RNA, 254 nt
Filed under: uncultured bacterium
Lineage: Bacteria
Description: partial 16S ribosomal RNA
Rfam family: Bacterial small subunit ribosomal RNA
Source: RNAcentral